Parelaphostrongylus tenuis is the source of this 76-nucleotide non-coding RNA. The record is from the annotation of a GenBank genome assembly. NCBI's taxonomy places the organism in Eukaryota, Metazoa, Nematoda, Chromadorea, Rhabditida, Metastrongylidae.
GCCUCAGUGGUGGUAGUGGUGAAAGAACGCGUCCCCGGAUAGUAUGACAACGUGGGUUCGAUUCCCGCCUGAGGUC